Molecule: ribosomal RNA, 497 nt
Filed under: uncultured bacterium
Lineage: Bacteria
Description: partial 16S ribosomal RNA
Rfam family: Bacterial small subunit ribosomal RNA
Source: RNAcentral
GACGAACGCUGGCGGCGUGCCUAAUACAUGCAAGUAGAACGCUGAAGGAAGGAGCUUGCUCUUUCUGGAUGAGUUGCGAACGGGUGAGUAACGCGUAGGUAACCUGCCUGGUAGCGGGGGAUAACUAUUGGAAACGAUAGCUAAUACCGCAUAAAAUUGAUUAUUGCAUGGUAGUCAAUUAAAAGGUGCAACUGCACCACUACCAGAUGGACCUGCGUUGUAUUAGCUAGUUGGUGGGGUAACGGCUCACCAAGGCGACGAUACAUAGCCGACCUGAGAGGGUGAUCGGCCACACUGGGACUGAGACACGGCCCAGACUCCUACGGGAGGCAGCAGUAGGGAAUCUUCGGCAAUAGACGGAAGUCUGACCGAGCAACGCCGCGUGAGUGAAGAAGGUUUUCGGAUCGUAAAGCUCUGUUGUAAGAGAAGAACGAGUGUGAGAGUGGAAAGUUCACACUGUGACGGUAUCUUACCAGAAAGGGACGGCUAACUACGUG